RNAcentral lists this ribosomal RNA (791 nucleotides) under uncultured Pelagibacteraceae bacterium. RNAcentral's name for it is "bacterial SSU rRNA". It matches the Rfam family "Bacterial small subunit ribosomal RNA", at positions 45 to 884 of the family's 1533-position model. Lineage: Bacteria; Pseudomonadati; Pseudomonadota; Alphaproteobacteria; Candidatus Pelagibacterales; Candidatus Pelagibacteraceae. The record is from RNAcentral.
CGCCUAACACAUGCAAGUCGAACGAAGUAGCAAUACUUAGUGGCGAACGGGUGAGUAUAAUGUGGGUAUCUGCCUUUUGGUUUGGAAUAACACGGGGAAACUUGUGCUAAUACCGGAUAAGCCUUCACAGGGAAAGUUUUAACGCCAAAAGAUGAGCCCGCACUUGAUUAGCUAGUUGGUAGGGUAAAAGCCUACCAAGGCUACGAUCAAUAGCUGAUCUGAGAGGAUGAUCAGCCACAUUGGGACUGAGACACGGCCCAAACUCCUACGGGAGGCAGCAGUGGGGAAUCUUGCACAAUGGGGGAAACCCUGAUGCAGCGAUGCCGCGUGAGUGAAGAAGGCCUUUGGGUUGUAAAGCUCUUUCGUCGGGGAAGAAAAUGACUGUACCCGAAUAAGAAGGUCCGGCUAACUUCGUGCCAGCAGCCGCGGUAAUACGAAGGGACCUAGCGUAGUUCGGAAUUACUGGGCUUAAAGAGCUCGUAGGUGGUUAGAAAAGUUGGUGGUGAAAUCCCAAGGCUUAACCUUGGAACUGCCAUCAAAACUUUUUAACUAGAGUGUGAUAGAGGAAAGUGGAAUUUCUAGUGUAGAGGUGAAAUUCGUAGAUAUUAGAAAGAACACCAAUUGCGAAGGCAACUUUCUGGAUCACUACUGACACUGAGGAGCGAAAGCAUGGGUAGCGAAGAGGAUUAGAUACCCUCGUAGUCCAUGCUGUAAACGAUGUGUGUUAGACGUUGGAAAUUUAAUUUUCAGUGUCGCAGCAAAAGCGUUAAACACACCGCCUGGGGAGUACG